This 660-nucleotide long non-coding RNA is filed under the name Homo sapiens (human). RNAcentral describes it as "HSALNT0133451". Lineage: Eukaryota; Metazoa; Chordata; Mammalia; Primates; Hominidae. The record is from RNAcentral.
GAGAAACCACUUCCUGGGAUGAAAUGAAAGCCAGGCAGAGAAUCCCAUACCCAAAUAUAAUCUAAAGGGGUUAAACUGAGAAAAAGAACACCGGUGAGACAAAGGGAUUUAAACUGGAGGAACAAGGAAAGAAAAAGUGCAUUCCUACUUACCUCAAGGGUUCUGUGCAAUGAAGUAGAAAAAGAACAGAAAGAAUUUCAGAGAGACUCAUCAGCAUCAUCACAGGGAUCCUUGAUGAAGCAGAUGGAAAAUACAGCAUGAACCCUAAUAAAAAUGCUUCCUGUGCCAAUCCUGAGACCACAGUGACUGUGGAACCUGAAUUAACAUAUGUCAUGAGAGGAAAGGAAGCUGAACAAAGAGCACAGUGAAGUGACUUGGCCUGACCUCAUUUCCUUACCUCAUGAGGACUUCGUCUGAAAGGUGAGCCCAGCGCAGCUGUGCAUAGCCAAUCCUUGGGAAACACAGAAAAAGGAAGGAGCCACAUUCCACACAAGCCCAGUGACACUAGACUCUCAGGAAUUUCUUGAGUCAAAUCAACUGUUCCCCCACUUUAAGGAAAAGGUGAUUCGGGAAGACGAGAAGGCUCUCUGAUACUGCCUUUCUCUUUGGGUGACUUCCUUUGGUCAGUCUUCACCCUGAUCCAGCAAUACCUUCCGGACA